RNAcentral lists this transfer RNA (78 nucleotides) under Anaerobacillus sp. HL2. Its description in RNAcentral is "tRNA-Phe". It matches the Rfam family "tRNA". Rfam says of the family: Transfer RNA (tRNA) molecules are approximately 80 nucleotides in length. Their secondary structure includes four short double-helical elements and three loops (D, anti-codon, and T loops). Lineage: Bacteria; Bacillati; Bacillota; Bacilli; Caryophanales; Bacillaceae. The record is from RNAcentral.
GGCUCGGUAGCUCAGUCGGUAGAGCAGGAGAGGACUGAAAAUCCUCGUGUCGGCGGUUCGAUCCGUCCCGAGCCACCA